Molecule: ribosomal RNA, 465 nt
Filed under: uncultured bacterium
Lineage: Bacteria
Description: partial 16S ribosomal RNA
Rfam family: Bacterial small subunit ribosomal RNA
Source: RNAcentral
CCUACGGGAGGCAGCAGUAGGGAAUCUUCCACAAUGGGCGAAAGCCUGAUGGAGCAACGCCGCGUGGGUGAAGAAGGUCUUCGGAUCGUAAAACCCUGUUGUUAGAGAAGAAAGUGCGUGAGAGUAACUGUUCACGUUUCGACGGUAUCUAACCAGAAAGCCACGGCUAACUACGUGCCAGCAGCCGCGGUAAUACGUAGGUGGCAAGCGUUAUCCGGAUUGAUGGGGCGUAAAGGGAACGAAGGCGGUCUUUUAAGUCUGAGGUGAAAGCCUUCGGCUUAACCGGAGUAGUGCAUUGGAAACUGGGAGCCUUGAGUGCAGAAGAGGUGAGUGGAACUCCAUGUGUAGCGGUGACAUGCGUAGCUAUCUGGAAGAACACCAGUGGCGAACGCGGCUCUCUGGUCUGUAACUGACGCUGAGGUUCGAAAGCGUGGGUAGCAAACAGGAUUAGAUACCCGAGUAGUC